This 499-nucleotide ribosomal RNA is filed under the name uncultured bacterium. RNAcentral describes it as "partial 16S ribosomal RNA". It matches the Rfam family "Bacterial small subunit ribosomal RNA", at positions 28 to 507 of the family's 1533-position model. The record is from RNAcentral.
GACGAACGCUGGCGGCGUGCCUAAUACAUGCAAGUCGAGCGAAGUUUUUCUGGUGCUUGCACUAGUACAACUUAGCGGCGAACGGGUGCGUAACACGUACAGAACCUGCCUCAUAGACUGGGACAACUAUUGGAAACGCUAGCUAAUACCGCAUAACAGUAUUUCUCGCCUGCGCGAUAUUUAUAUGUUGGUUAUGGUAACACUAUGAGAUGGCUUUGCGGUGAAUUAGCUAGUUGGUGGGGUAAAGGCACACCAAGGCGACGAUGCGUAGACGACCUGAGAGGAGGACCGGACACACUGGGACUGAGACACGGCCCAGACUCCUACGGGAGGCAGGAGUAGGGAAUCUUACGCAAUGGGCGAAAGCCUGACGGGACAACGCCGCGUGAGGUAAAAAGUAUUGCGGUUCGUAAAGCUCUGCUGUUAGGGAAGAAUGGAUAUGUAGUAACUAUACAUGUAAGAGACGGUACCUAACCAGAAAGCCACGGCUAACUCCGUG